Molecule: ribosomal RNA, 518 nt
Filed under: Pestalotiopsis sp. 12SE39
Lineage: Eukaryota; Fungi; Ascomycota; Sordariomycetes; Amphisphaeriales; Sporocadaceae
Also listed under: 1 other name
Description: partial 28S ribosomal RNA
Source: RNAcentral
GUGAUUGAUAACCAUUACGCCAGCAUCCUUGCAGAAGCGCGUACCUCGAUCCCCAGCAGCGUAUUAUACAAUGGGCUAUAACACUCCCCGUAGGGAGCCACAUUCCCACUGCUUUUAUCCGCCGCCGAAAAUCGAUGCUGGCCUUUACUGGGCAAAGUGCACCGGAGAGAACCCCGGAUGAUCCGCCCAGAAAAAGUCUGGUCACAAAUCCUUCCCUUUCAACAAUUUCACGUGCUAUUUAACCCUCUUUUCAAAGUGCUUUUCAUCUUUCGAUCACUCUACUUGUGCGCUAUCGGUCUCUGGCCAAUAUUUAGCUUUAGAAGAAAUUUACCUCCCAUUUAGAGCAGCAUUCCCAAACUACUCGACUCGUCGAAGGAGAUUUACAGAGGCUAGGCAUUCAACCGUACGGGGCUCUCACCCUCUAAGGCGUCCUGUUCCAAGGAACUCGGAAGAUACCGCACCAAAAUCAUCCUCUACAAAUUACAAUUCGGACCCGAGGGCCAGAUUUCAAAUUUGAG